Molecule: ribosomal RNA, 508 nt
Filed under: uncultured bacterium
Lineage: Bacteria
Description: partial 16S ribosomal RNA
Rfam family: Bacterial small subunit ribosomal RNA
Source: RNAcentral
AGUGAACGCUGGCGGCAGGCCUAACACAUGCAAGUCGAACGGCAGCACAGUAAGAGCUUGCUCUUAUGGGUGGCGAGUGGCGGACGGGUGAGGAAUACAUCGGAAUCUACUCUUUCGUGGGGGAUAACGUAGGGAAACUUACGCUAAUACCGCAUACGACCUACGGGUGAAAGCGGAGGACCUUCGGGCUUCGCGCGAUUGAAUGAGCCGAUGUCGGAUUAGCUAGUUGGCGGGGUAAAGGCCCACCAAGGCGACGAUCCGUAGCUGGUCUGAGAGGAUGAUCAGCCACACUGGAACUGAGACACGUUCCAGACUCCUACGGGAGGCAGCAGUGGGGAAUAUUGGAGAAUGGGCGCAAGCCUGAUCCAGCCAUGCCGCGUGGGUGAAGAAGGCCUUCGGGUUGUAAAGCCCUUUUGUUGGGAAAGAAAAGCAGUCGGUUAAUACCCGAUUGUUCUGACGGUACCCAAAGAAUAAGCACCGGCUAACUUCGUGCCAGCCGCCGCCGUAA